Molecule: long non-coding RNA, 723 nt
Filed under: Anser brachyrhynchus (Pink-footed goose)
Lineage: Eukaryota; Metazoa; Chordata; Aves; Anseriformes; Anatidae
Description: lncRNA (ENSABRG00000004021.1)
Source: RNAcentral
CAUAGCUCUGCUUCGCCAGCAUCGGCUGAUGACAUCACUGACACCCAAACCAGAGCAAGGAACUGCUGAAUGCACCAGCUGCUAACAUCAUCAGCGGCGGGGAACCUGUGACUCCUGCUGUCUUCAUUUCUUGAUAAAAGCCCAAAGUCAAUUCAGAAGAAAUGUUGCUAAAGAGUGUGAACAGAGUUUUGUUUUAUGAAAAUCAUACCAGAACUUGAUGAAAAGAGAAUUUUCCUGGAAAGGUUGCUGAGGCAGCAAAAUAUUAAGCAUGUGCAUAUGACUAAUGACACUGAAGGACCAACAUCAGUACGUUGUUGAGUGAUAAGCAGGAGUGGAAUGUCUGAGAAAGCUUGGCCUCUCUUUCUUUGAAGAUGACAACCCUAGAGCUAAUUUUAAACAACAGUAGUGAAGGUGUUCUCACCCAGUCUAGCUAGUUAUCUUCACCAGGAGACAUGCAGGUAUUAAAGCACGUAAGCUACCCUUAGAUCAGGCAUAUAUGCAGAAAUCUGCUUCAGUAUAAAUAAGAACCAAUUUUAUGGCUACAUUUCAUUUUCAGGGAAAUCAGGACAUGUAGAUUUGUUGUAACACUUGGUGCACAGGAGCUGAAGAAGCCCAGAGCAGGUACCAGCUGUUCCCGCUGUAUGAACGCUGAACAGCCCUUCCUGAAAUGAUUAUGCCUAAAAAUGAAAUUAAACACAUUUGAUAAAGGAGAAAAGAUAGGAA